UGCAGUCGACGGCAGCACGGGGGCAACCCUGGUGGCGAGUGGCGAACGGGUGAGUAAUGUAUCGGAACGUACCCAGUCGUGGGGGAUAACUAUCCGAAAGGAUAGCUAAUACCGCAUACGUCCUGAGGGAGAAAGCGGGGGACCUGCAAGGGCCUCGCGCGAUUGGAGCGGCCGAUAUCGGAUUAGCUAGUUGGUGAGGUAAAGGCUCACCAAGGCGACGAUCCGUAGCGGGUCUGAGAGGACGACCCGCCACACUGGAACUGAGACACGGUCCAGACUCCUACGGGAGGCAGCAGUGGGGAAUUUUGGACAAUGGGGGAAACCCUGAUCCAGCCAUUCCGCGUGAGUGAAGAAGGCCUUCGGGUUGUAAAGCUCUUUCAGCAGGAACGAAACGGUCGGCUUUAAUAAAGUCGGCUAAUGACGGUACCUGCAGAAGAAGCACCGGCUAACUACGUGCCAGCA
RNAcentral lists this ribosomal RNA (462 nucleotides) under uncultured bacterium. Its description in RNAcentral is "bacterial SSU rRNA". It matches the Rfam family "Bacterial small subunit ribosomal RNA", at positions 56 to 513 of the family's 1533-position model. The record is from RNAcentral.